AAAUUGAAGAGUUUAUCAUGGCUCAGAUUGAACGCUGGCGGCAGGCCUAACACAUGCAAGUCGAGCGGAAACGAGUUGUCUGAACCU
RNAcentral lists this ribosomal RNA (87 nucleotides) under Vibrio parahaemolyticus. RNAcentral's name for it is "partial 16S ribosomal RNA". The record is from RNAcentral. Lineage: Bacteria; Pseudomonadati; Pseudomonadota; Gammaproteobacteria; Vibrionales; Vibrionaceae.